This 253-nucleotide ribosomal RNA is filed under the name uncultured bacterium. RNAcentral's name for it is "partial 16S ribosomal RNA". It matches the Rfam family "Bacterial small subunit ribosomal RNA", at positions 524 to 776 of the family's 1533-position model. The record is from RNAcentral.
UACAGAGGGUGCGAGCGUUAAUCGGAAUUACUGGGCGUAAAGCGUGCGUAGACGGUUAUUUAAGUCAGAUGUGAAAGCCCCGGGCUCAACCUGGGAAUUGCAUUCGAGACUGCAUUGCUGGAGUACGGAAGAGGAAGGCGGAAUUCCCGGUGUAGCGGUGAAAUGCGUAGAUAUCGGGAGGAACAUCAGUGGCGAAGGCGGCCUUCUGGUCCAGUACUGACACUCAAGUGCGAAAGCGUGGGGAGCAAACAGG